This is a long non-coding RNA of Tyto alba (common barn owl), 1928 nucleotides long. RefSeq lists it as uncharacterized. The transcript is spliced from 3 exons. The record is from RefSeq and is a predicted model, not a curated record. Lineage: Eukaryota; Metazoa; Chordata; Aves; Strigiformes; Tytonidae.
GUUCCCCCCCAGAGGCGCGGCCGCCUGCCCGCUGCGGGACCCGGGGCCCGGCGGUGCCCUCACCCCCCCCCACCCCCCUUCCCCUGUCUCCUCGCCCCCCCCUGAGACGGCAUCCCCGCUGGCGGUGCGGCGGCCUGCGCUCCCCCGGGGAGCCCGGAGCGGCACCUGGGAGAGGAGGAUGGCACGGGGAGGGGGUGCGCGAAUAAGGCCCGUUCUUCGGGGGAAUCUAAACGACAAGGGGGUACGACAGAGUCUGUAAAGCUGGUAUGUUGAAGCGAGCACUGCUGCCCUGUUUUAACCGUAGGGCUUUUGCCAAGCGCUAAAAUCUAGAUGAUGAUAAGAUUCAAUCCAAAAUCUCAUGGUCUGCAACUGACGUGUCACUUCAGCCCCUUCUCAGCAGAACGGCUGUAGGCUACAAGUGAGAGGCAGCGAAAGCAUGCCCUGAUGUCGAAUGUUUUCUUCAUUUCUCCUCUAUCUGCUCUGGGUUUGAGGAUUUUGUCCACCAACUGACAAUAACCCAGUGUUUUUACAGAUAAAAGCCAAACUGUAUCCACUAUUUUUCAAGAAUCAAAUGAAGAAGACGACAUAUUCAUGUAUGUGUUUGCUAAGUGUUUCAUACUUUUACUUAACACUGUCAAGCAUACCUAGGUCAUGCUUCUUCACCGUUGGAUACAUGUAUAUGAACUAUAUUCCCUGACAAUUAUUCCAGUUAAUACAUCUGUCAAAGAAAAGUAAUUUAUACCACAAAUUAAGUAUGGGAAAAUUCAUUCUAAUGAUAGGAAACGUUCCAUUUCUAAUUUUGGUAGUGGAAUUCCUCAAAAUUUUUAAUGAUACAAUGUAACAAACAGUAAAAUAAUUCUUAGUCAGAUUCACCUUAUUAGGAAUGUCUUAAGUUUGCAUUUCAUUUCCUCAGAAUAUGCUGUAAAAUUAAGUGGGCCAAAACCUGGUUUACUUUAUAGGGUCAAAUUUCUGUCUUAGAACGAAUAUAUAAAAGGUGAACAACUGUUGCUGUUAGCUACAGAUUUUGAACCAAUAUCUAGCUUAUAAUGGUAUAAUAAACAAUGGCAAACAAAUAUGCUGCAGAAUUUAAGUUCUGAAGAAAGGUUGGAAAUCAGUUCAUUCAACUCCAGUACUGUUGUUUCCCAUUUCAGUUUGUCCUAAUUAACAUAGAAAAAAAAAAAUCUUCAAAGAUGUUCAGGAUUGCUUUUUACAUAAUGAAAAUUAUUAAAUGAGCCAUUUGCAUUGUUUUUUACACCUCUCCUUUGUCCAUGAAUUCAUUUUCAUAUGAAUAUUCCUGUGGGGCAAACUGGGACAUUAAUUUUGCAAUAAAAGACCUAGCUAAAUUUAACAAAUAUAUAUAUAUGAAAAUAUAUAUGGCAUAGGCAGACAAGUGUGUAAAAUCCACAGAUACAUCCUCUUAUGGCCAAGUCUCCCUUCGCUAACCCCAAAUUGUAAUUUUGUAGUAGGUCUAUGUUAAAAAAAAAUUCUUUGGGUCAGGUAGAACCAUCAUAAGUCUCCAUGCUACAGCUAGAGGUAAACAAUUCAGCCGCUUCACAUAUGCAGUUCAAAAGUGAUCAUAAUUUUAAAUCAGAAUAGUAGAUUCUGGUACCGAUUUUCAGCAACUGUAAACAUGCCCUGAAGUCAAUAAAUCCAUGUUAAUUUGCAUCACUCAGGGAUUUAUUCUUCCUUUCCUUUCUCUCACACACCUGAGACAAGGAGUUUCUACCAGUUUGUCAGAUUCCUUGGGAUAAGAAGCUACAAGAUCAAAACCACCUGAGUUAAUGGAUAUCCAAUACUGCUGUCCAAGAGACGUCCAGUAUUCUAAUGCGCCACACUAUGGAGCUGGCCUGAGGUGAGAAGUAUUAUACACACCUCCCAAAUUACAGAUGCUGGAAGCUAGGAUCAUUGCCAGGUGAUACUCUUCUUCA